GGACUACCAGGGUUUCUAAUCCUGUUUGCUCCCCACGCUCUCGUGCCUCAGUGUCAGUGUCAAUCCAGGUAGUCGCCUUCGCCACUGGUGUUCCUUCCGAUAUCUACGCAUUUCACCGCUACACCGGAAAUUCCACUACCCUCUAUCGCACUCCAGCUACGCAGUCUAAUCUGCAAUUCCCAGGUUAAGCCCGGGGAUUUCACAUAUCACUUACGUAACCACCUACGCACCCUUUACGCCCAGUAAUUCCGAUUAACGCUUGCACCCUCUGUAUUACCGCGGCUGCUGGCAC
Molecule: ribosomal RNA, 292 nt
Filed under: uncultured bacterium
Lineage: Bacteria
Description: partial 16S ribosomal RNA
Source: RNAcentral